This 73-nucleotide transfer RNA is filed under the name Camelus bactrianus (Bactrian camel). It matches the Rfam family "tRNA". From Rfam's summary of the family: Transfer RNA (tRNA) molecules are approximately 80 nucleotides in length. Their secondary structure includes four short double-helical elements and three loops (D, anti-codon, and T loops). The record is from Rfam by way of RNAcentral. Lineage: Eukaryota; Metazoa; Chordata; Mammalia; Artiodactyla; Camelidae. RNAcentral also lists the same sequence under 2 other names.
GAGGGUGUAGCUCAAGUGGUAGAGCGCGUGCUUAGCAUGCACGAGGCUCUGGGUUCAGUCCCCAGUACCUUCA